GAUCCUGGCUCAGGAUGAACGCUGGCGGCGUGCUUAACACAUGCAAGUCGAACGGAUAAACCACUUCGGUGGACAUAGAGUGGCGAACGGGUGAGUAACACGUGCCCAACCUGCCCCCCGCACCGGGAUACCCCCGGGAAACCGGGAUCAAUACCGGAUGACGCGGGAAGGCCGCAUGGCCUUCCCGCCAAAGCCCAGGCGGCGGGGGAUGGGGGCGCGGCCCAUCAGGUUGACGGCGGGGUGACGGCCCACCGUGCCUACUACGGGUAGCCGGG
RNAcentral lists this ribosomal RNA (275 nucleotides) under uncultured bacterium. Its description in RNAcentral is "partial 16S ribosomal RNA". It matches the Rfam family "Bacterial small subunit ribosomal RNA", at positions 15 to 291 of the family's 1533-position model. The record is from RNAcentral.